AUGUCAGCAGUCCUCCCUGUUGUGAUAGAUUGCAUAGGAUGCUGCUUCCGGAUCCAAAGGAACAAUCGACAGACGUCACAAAGAUCCACCUCUGGCUGCAUCAGAAAAUUAUGCUCCUGGCGCCACCAGCGAGUGCACCCCGCUAAUGGGUCGGGGACAGAAACCCCGGGCUCCCAUGAAAGGCUGCCCAGCACCGCAGGAGGAAUAGAGGCUCCAAGUGGCUGCACAAUGCCGGCCGAUGACGCAACUAAUAAUAAUGGCAUGGCUUUGGAGCGCCCCACUCCAGUGACAAACAAUCGGGGUGAAGAAGAAGAAGGUGGGUCUUCCUUGCGGGCAUUGGUUGGAGAGCAGCCAGAUCCUGGGUUCCUUUUGGAAAGGGGGUAGUCUGGGAUGUGGAGCAGGCAGCUCUUUCCCAGUCAUAGUGAUGCCCUGGUGGCACCUGCCCUGGACACAAGUCUCUUGUGUUGAUUCCUUGGGUUGUGACACAUUCCGAGGGACAGGGAGUGAGGUCCAUGUGUGAGCACAUGUGGUGUAAGUAUCUGUUUCCUCAUGAGCUCUCUCCUAUUUAUACAGAAAAUACACCGCUCAACGUUCCUUAAGAAACAUCCCAUCACCUCUGCGUACCACCCCUAUAGGCAUGCAUUCGCCCCUCACCACUGCUGUCCCCACGUUGGCUUAAUUUUCCCGUUGCUCAGGUGGAGAUGGUGCAGAGAGAGUUGGCCCAAGCUCUUGACCUCCUACAUGGGAAAGCCAAAGUGGGACCCAGGCUGGGUUCCCUAUGGGGACGCUCUGGACCCCUGACCUGCACCUCUCCCUCAGCCAGGACUUGGUCGUUCGUGGGGAGCACGGAGCGGGGAGGGUCCCUGCUCCGUGUCUAUGCCCGGGAAUUCCAGGGUCUCCAGAGGGCCUGUCGAUGCUGUGCAUUUUAAAAGGUCCCUGUCAGUGCUGCGGUCAUUGCUUCAACAUGGCCAAAGCAGAUGGGAAUCGGCGAGGCGUAUGCUUGUAUUGGACAGUGUCACUGUCAUUCUCACACUUGACCACCCUAGGUAGCACACACCCAGGCGACCUUGCAAGUAAGAGCUCACAGUUCACCCUCAUCCUUAGCCUGGUGUGCGGCACCAUUGUACAAACUCGCUGCCCAUCUGGGUGAGAAGGACUCCGUGCUCCCUCUGUGUUUCUCUCCAUGAAGUAAGUCCCUCUUGUUGUAAGGCUCUUGGGAGGGCAGACAUCCUUUUUGCUCAAGGCCCAUGCACCAAAUGAAGCCUGCAGAAAAACUGUCAUGUGAUGGAUAGUGGUUGGAUUUCAGUAUUGUCAUGUGUUCUAUUUUUGGUUUUUAAGAUCAACGUUUUGGGUUUAAGAUCCCUUCAUUAGCAUACUUUUCCUAGAAUUACCCCUCCAGGAAAGUUCUAAGUUUUCUUAAAUGAUUUUAAUUUUUUCCUUUACACUCGGUUUAAAUUUUUCUGUUAAUUUCUGCUGUGCAGGAAAGUGAUCCUGUCGCACACGCGUGCACACACGCACACAGACACACCCAUAUACAUGCUUACAUUUUCUCCCACUAUCCUCUAUCACGUUCCUUCGUGAGUGGCUGGAUAUUGUAUCCCUGUGCGAUCCAGUGGGCUCUCAUCGCAUAGCCAGUCCAGAUGCAAUUGUUUGCAUCCCUAAAGCCCAGAGUCCCAGUGCAUCCCACUUCCUCCCUGACCCCACUGGCAAGCACAAGUCUCUUCUGCAAGUCCUUGAGUUUCUGUUCCGUGGAAAGGAUCAUUUGUGCUGUGUUUUAGAGUCCAGAUAUAAGUGACAUCAUGUGGGGUUGGUGUUUCUCUUUCUGAGGGACUUUGCUUAGGAUGAGCGCCUCUAGUUCCAUCCACUCUGCUGCAAAUGGCACUAAUUCCUUCCUUUCACGGCUGAGGAGUACCGCAUUGUGUAUAUAUCCCACCUCUUGUUAACCCAUUCAUCUGUCGGUGGACGUUUAGGUGGUUUCCACGUCUUGGCUAGCGUGAGGAGUGCCGCACUGGACACUCGGCGCUGUCGUCAACGUCCAUGGGUGCCUGUAUCUUGUUCAAGGCAAGUCUUGUCCCCACAUACGCCCAAGAGUGGGAUUUCUGGGCCACAUGCUAGUUCUAUAUUUAGUUUUCCGAGGUCCCUGCAUGGUGCUUUCCAUAGCGGCUGUGCCAAGUUACAUUCCUACCAACAGGGUGGGAGGGUACCCUCUUCUGCACACCCUCUCCAGCAUUUGUAAUUUCUAGCCUUACUAAUGAUGGCCCUUCUGACAGGUGCGAGGUGGUACUUCUUAGCAGCUUGGAUUUGCCUUGUUCUAAUCAUUCAUGGUGUUGAGCAUGUUUUCGUGUGCCUGUUGGCCAUCUGUCUAUCUUCCUUGGGUGACUGUCUAUUCAGUUCUCUUGCCCAUUUUUCAAGUGGGUCGUUGUUUGUGUUUGCUGUUGAUGGUGUCUUGUCUUAGGUUUAAGUCUUUAAGCCGUUUUGAGUUUCUUUUUGUGCACGGUUUGAGGGUGUUGUUUUCCAGUUUCCUGGAUUUUCAUGUGGCUGUCCAGCUUCCCAGCACCACGCGCUGAACAGACUGUCUUUUCCCCCCUUGACAUUCUUGCCCCCUUUGUUGAAGAAUAAUUGACCGUCGGUUUGGGGUUUAUUUCUGGGUUCUGUCUUCUGUUCCAGUGGUCUGUGUGUCGGUUUUGGUACCUUUGCCACACUGUCUUGCUUACCGUAGCUUUGUAAUAUUGACCGAAGUCUGGGAGAGGUGUGCCUCCUGCUUGGUUUUUGCUCCUCAGGAUUGCCUUGGCCAUUCCGGGCCUGUUUAGGUUCCGUGUAAAUGUUUGGACGGUUUUGUUCUAGUUCUGCGAAAAUCACGGAUAGGGAUGGCAUUGCAUCUGUAGAUUGCUUUGCGUAGAACGGCCAUUUUUAGGAUAUUCAUUUUUUCCAAGCCAGGAGCGUGGCCUAUGUCUGCCCUUCUUUGACUCCUCCUUAAUUUCCUUGAGUCAUGUUUUAUUGCUCUCGGCGCAGAGGUCUUGCAGCUCCUGGCUCAGGUUGGUCCCCAGAUGUUUAAUGCUUUGGGUUCUUCCUUGGACCCCUGCUUGAGUGGCUAAGAGGAAGGCCAUCCCCUCCCCUGGAGUGAACACUGGGGGAGGUGUCUCCUUGCAAGCCUGGGGAGAGCAGCCUUCCUCCUGUUCCUUGGCCCUCUGCAGCUACCCGUGUGCACUCCAGGGCCUUUGCCCAUCCCCUUGUCUACCGCCUCUCCUUGUUUUGUCUUCCUUCUUUCGCGUUUACACAGGGUCAUUUUUCUCAUGCAUCCUCCUCACCUGACAAAAAAUAAAAAAGCAAAGAGGAAAAGGGGAGAGCUCUAG
RNAcentral lists this long non-coding RNA (3353 nucleotides) under Sus scrofa (pig). RNAcentral describes it as "lncRNA (ENSSSCG00070011070.1)". The record is from RNAcentral. Lineage: Eukaryota; Metazoa; Chordata; Mammalia; Artiodactyla; Suidae.